Molecule: small RNA, 897 nt
Filed under: Pan troglodytes (chimpanzee)
Lineage: Eukaryota; Metazoa; Chordata; Mammalia; Primates; Hominidae
Description: processed transcript
Source: RNAcentral
CUCUUUUUUCCCUGUUCUGUUUAAUUGGGCCAGUCUUAAAAAUCAUCUGGUUACUUUAUUUCAAGGUGGUGUUUAAUAUGUAAUAUUUUGAACUUAGGGUCAGAUAUAGAAAUGUUGGUUAAACUUUGAGGAGGAAAAGUACAAGUAGUUAAUAGAGUGAAAGAAGAUUUCCUUCUCACUGAUUGGAGAUUGUAAUGAAAUUUUAAGAAAGUAUGUUAAAAGAUGACUUAAAACUAAGCAGCAGUGAAGACAGUGAUGGGGAACAGGAUUGUGAUAAGACAAUGCCGAGGAGUACACCAGGAAGUAACUCUGAACCUUCACACCAUAAUAGUGAAGGAGCAGAUAACUCCAGGGAUGAUUCUAGUAGCCACAGUGGAUCUGAAAGCAGCUCUGGAUCUGACUCAGAGAGUGAAAGUAGUUCCAGUGACAGUGAGGCAAAUGAGCCAUCCCAGAGUGCAUCUCCCGAGCCUGAACCCCCGCCAACAAACAAAUGGCAACUUGAUAAUUGGCUGAAUAAAGUGAACCCACAUAAAGUGUCACCCGCCUCUUCAGUGGACAGUAACAUCCCAUCAUCUCAAGGCUACAAAAAGGAAGGCCGAGAGCAGGGCACUGGGAAUAGCUACACUGAUACAAGUGGACCUAAAGAAACGAGUUCCGCUACUCCGGGACGAGACUCCAAAACCAUCCAAAAGGGAUCAGAAAGUGGGCGUGGGAGGCAGAAAUCUCCUGCACAGAGUGACAGCACAACACAGAGAAGAACUGUAGGCAAAAAACAACCCAAAAAGGCUGAGAAGGCAGCUGCUGAAGAGCCUCGUGGAGGCCUGAAGAUAGAAAGUGAAACCCCUGUAGACUUGGCUAGCAGCAUGCCCUCCAGCAGACACAAAGCAGCCACCAAAG